Molecule: ribosomal RNA, 1436 nt
Filed under: uncultured Pelagibacterales bacterium
Lineage: Bacteria; Pseudomonadati; Pseudomonadota; Alphaproteobacteria; Candidatus Pelagibacterales
Description: bacterial SSU rRNA
Rfam family: Bacterial small subunit ribosomal RNA
Source: RNAcentral
AGAGUUUGAUCCUGGCUCAGAACGUACGCUGGCGGCACGCCUAACACAUGCAAGUCGAACGAAGUAGCAAUACUUAGUGGCAGACGGGUGAGUAACAUGUAGGUAUCUGCCCUUUGGCCUGGAAUAACACGAGGAAACUUGUGCUAAUACCGGAUAAGUCUUUACGGAGAAAGCUUUAUGCACCAUUGGAUGAGCCUGCACUUGAUUAGUUUGUUGGUGGGGUAAUGGCCUACCAAGACUGUGAUCAAUAGCUGAUUUGAGAGGAUGAUCAGCCACAUUGGGACUGAGACACGGCCCAAACUCCUACGGGAGGCAGCAGUGGGGAAUCUUGCACAAUGGAGGAAACUCUGAUGCAGCGAUGCCGCGUGAGUGAAGAAGGCCUUUGGGUUGUAAAGCUCUUUCGUCGGGGAAGAAAAUGACUGUACCCGAAUAAGAAGGUCCGGCUAACUUCGUGCCAGCAGCCGCGGUAAUACGAAGGGACCUAGCGUAGUUCGGAAUUACUGGGCUUAAAGAGUUCGUAGGUGGUUGAAAAAGUUAGUGGUGAAAUCCCAGAGCUUAACUCUGGAACUGCCAUUAAAACUUUUCAGCUAGAGUAUGAUAGAGGAAAGCAGAAUUUCUAGUGUAGAGGUGAAAUUCGUAGAUAUUAGAAAGAAUACCAAUUGCGAAGGCAGCUUUCUGAAUCAUUACUGACACUGAGGAACGAAAGCAUGGGUAGCGAAGAGGAUUAGAUACCCUCGUAGUCCAUGCCGUAAACGAUGUGUGUUAGACGUUGGAAAUUUAUUUUCAGUGUCGCAGGGAAACCGAUAAACACACCGCCUGGGGAGUACGACCGCAAGGUUAAAACUCAAAUGAAUUGACGGGGACCCGCACAAGUAGUGGAGCAUGUGGUUUAAUUCGAAGAUACGCGCAGAACCUUACCAACACUUGACAUGUUCGUCGCGACUCUAAGAGAUUAGAGUUUUCGGUUCGGCCGGACGAAACACAGGUGCUGCAUGGCUGUCGUCAGCUCGUGUCGUGAGAUGUUGGGUUAAGUCCCGCAACGAGCGCAACCCUCACUUUUAGUUGCCAUCAUUAAGUUGGGCACUCUGAAAGAACUGCCAGUGAUAAGCUGGAGGAAGGUGGGGAUGACGUCAAGUCCUCAUGGCCCUUACGUGUUGGGCUACACACGUGCUACAAUGGUAUCUACAACAGGAAGCAAGACUGCGAAGUUAAGCAAAUCCCUAAAAGAUACCUCAGUUCGGAUUGCACUCUGCAACUCGAGUGCAUGAAGCUGGAAUUACUAGUAAUCGUGGAUCAGCGUGCCACGGUGAAUGCGUUCCCGGGUCUUGUACACACCGCCCGUCACACCAUGGGAGUUGGUUCUACCUUAAGGCAAGGUUUUAAACCCUUGACCACGGUAUAGUCAGCGACUGGGGUGAAGUCGUAACAAGGUAACC